RNAcentral lists this non-coding RNA (145 nucleotides) under Phoenicopterus ruber ruber. RNAcentral's name for it is "Eukaryotic large subunit ribosomal RNA". It matches the Rfam family "Eukaryotic large subunit ribosomal RNA", at positions 211 to 358 of the family's 3401-position model. Lineage: Eukaryota; Metazoa; Chordata; Aves; Phoenicopteriformes; Phoenicopteridae. The record is from Rfam by way of RNAcentral.
GCUGACUGGCCUGUAAUUUCCCUGGCGAGCCAGGCCCAGGGCUUCUCAGAGUCGGGUUGCUUGGGAAUGCAGCCCAAAGCAGGUGGUAAACUCCAUCUAAGGCUAAAUACCAGCACGAGACCAAUAGCCAACAAGUACCGUAAGG